AGAGUUUGAUCCUGGCUCAGAUUGAACGCUGGCGGCAUGCCUUACACAUGCAAGUCGAACGGCAGCACGGGGGCAACCCUGGUGGCGAGUGGCGAACGGGUGAGUAACAUAUCGGAACGUGCCCUGGAGUGGGGGAUAACUAGUCGAAAGAUUAGCUAAUACCGCAUACGAUCUACGGAUGAAAGUGGGGGAUCGCAAGACCUCAUGCUCGUGGAGCGGCCGAUAUCUGAUUAGCUAGUUGGUGGGGUAAAGGCCUACCAAGGCAUCGAUCAGUAGCUGGUCUGAGAGGACGACCAGCCACACUGGGACUGAGACACGGCCCAGACUCCUACGGGAGGCAGCAGUGGGGAAUUUUGGACAAUGGGCGCAAGCCUGAUCCAGCAAUGCCGCGUGAGUGAAGAAGGCCUUCGGGUUGUAAAGCUCUUUUGUCAGGGAAGAAACGGUGAGGGCUAAUAUCCCUUGCUAAUGACGGUACCUGAAGAAUAAGCACCGGCUAACUACGUGCCAGCAGCCGCGGUAAUACGUAGGGUGCAAGCGUUAAUCGGAAUUACUGGGCGUAAAGCGUGCGCAGGCGGUUGUGCAAGACCGAUGUGAAAUCCCCGGGCUUAACCUGGGAAUGGCAUUGGUGACUGCACGGCUAGAGUGUGUCAGAGGGGGGUAGAAUUCCACGUGUAGCAGUGAAAUGCGUAGAGAUGUGGAGGAAUACCGAUGGCGAAGGCAGCCCCCUGGGAUAACACUGACGCUCAUGCACGAAAGCGUGGGGAGCAAACAGGAUUAGAUACCCUGGUAGUCCGCGCCCUAAACGAUGUCAACUAGUUGUCGGGUCUUAAUUGACUUGGUAACGCAGCCAACGCGUGAAGUUGACCGCCUGGGGAGUACGGUCGCAAGAUUAAAACUCAAAGGAAUUGACGGGGACCCGCACAAGCGGUGGAUGAUGUGGAUUAAUUCGAUGCAACGCGAAAAACCUUACCUACCCUUGACAUGGCAGGAAUCCCUGAGAGAUCAGGGAGUGCUCGAAAGAGAACCUGCACACAGGUGCUGCAUGGCUGUCGUCAGCUCGUGUCGUGAGAUGUUGGGUUAAGUCCCGCAACGAGCGCAACCCUUGUCAUUAGUUGCUACGAAAGGGCACUCUAAUGAGACUGCCGGUGACAAACCGGAGGAAGGUGGGGAUGACGUCAAGUCCUCAUGGCCCUUAUGGGUAGGGCUUCACACGUCAUACAAUGGUACAUACAGAGGGCCGCCAACCCGCGAGGGGGAGCUAAUCCCAGAAAGUGUAUCGUAGUCCGGAUUGCAGUCUGCAACUCGACUGCAUGAAGUUGGAAUCGCUAGUAAUCGCGGAUCAGCAUGUCGCGGUGAAUACGUUCCCGGGUCUUGUACACACCGCCCGUCACACCAUGGGAGCGGGUUUUACCAGAAGUAGGUAGCUUAACCGCAAGGAGGGCGCUUACCACGGUAGGAUUCGUGACUGGGGUGAAGUCGUAACAAGGUAACC
RNAcentral lists this ribosomal RNA (1492 nucleotides) under uncultured bacterium. RNAcentral describes it as "bacterial SSU rRNA". It matches the Rfam family "Bacterial small subunit ribosomal RNA". The record is from RNAcentral.